Molecule: ribosomal RNA, 441 nt
Filed under: uncultured bacterium
Lineage: Bacteria
Description: partial 16S ribosomal RNA
Rfam family: Bacterial small subunit ribosomal RNA
Source: RNAcentral
CCUACGGGUGGCAGCAGUCGGGAAUAUUGCUCAAUGGAGGAAACUCUGACGCAGUGACGCCGCGUAUAGGAAGAAGGUUUUCGGAUUGUAAACUAUUGUCGUUAGGGAAGAUAAAAGACUGUACUUACGGAGGAAGCCCCGGCUAACUCGGUGCCAGCAGCCGCGGUAUUACGUAGGGGGCCAGCGUUAUCAGGAAUUAUUGGGGGUAAAGGGUGCGUAGACGGAAUAACAAGUCGGUUGUGAAAUCCCUCGGCUCAACUGAGGAACUGCAACUGAAACUAUUCUCCUUGAGUGUGGGAGAGGAAGGUGGAAUGCCUAGUGUAGCGGUGAAAUGCGUAGAGAUUAGGAGGAACACCAGUGGCGAAGGCGUCUUACUGGAGCGAAACUGACGUUGAGGCUCGAAAGCGUGGGGAGCAAACAGGAUUAGAUACCCCAGUAGUC